This 261-nucleotide ribosomal RNA is filed under the name Salmonella enterica subsp. enterica serovar Legon. RNAcentral's name for it is "partial 16S ribosomal RNA". It matches the Rfam family "Bacterial small subunit ribosomal RNA", at positions 1 to 250 of the family's 1533-position model. Lineage: Bacteria; Pseudomonadati; Pseudomonadota; Gammaproteobacteria; Enterobacterales; Enterobacteriaceae. The record is from RNAcentral.
UUUAUGGAGAGUUUGAUCCUGGCUCAGGAUGAACGCUGGCGGCGUGCCUAAUACAUGCAAGUCGAGCGAACAGAUGAGAAGCUUGCUUCUCUGAUGUUAGCGGCGGACGGGUGAGUAACACGUGGGUAACCUACCUAUAAGACUGGGAUAACUCCGGGAAACCGGGGCUAAUACCGGAUAAUAUUUUGAACCGCAUGGUUCAAUAGUGAAAGACGGUUUCGGCUGUCACUUAUAGAUGGACCCGCGCCGUAUUAGCUAGUU